GAGGGCUGUGAUGGUUGGCAGCAGCACCAGAGCUGCCAAUCAGUUUUGGAAGGCCAAGGAACUGCUCUCCAGGUGGGAUUCCUGAGGGAGGGGCUUUAGAAGGGAGCAGAGAGUGGCAGUUAAACUGUCUUACUGGUAGCUCUGAGAGUCAGAGGGGGGCUGAAAGAGCCAGCGUUAGACAGGGCUUAGAGAAGCCAGGAGUUAGGGCUUUCUCAGAUAGGGCUAGAGAAGCCCGGAGAAAGGGACGGACAGGGCUAGAGAGAGGAUCUCUAGGGAGAUCGUGUCUGUUCUGGGACUGGUGGGUUCCAGGGAGGGACUGGAUAGAACAGGAUUGGUGUCUAUAGGUGAUAGUGAUGUGAAUUCGGUUCGUCCCUGGGUCUGCCUUUUAGCCAAUCAAACAGACACAGUGGGAAUCAUCUUAGAGGCAUUUAUUGCACUGCAGUUGCAACAGAGUCCAAUGAAGUUUCUUUGAACUAUAAAGUUUUCUCCUCCUUGGUAUGUAUGGAAAUUGGUCGUCAUCUAUCAAAUAGAUAAUAACCCUUUGGUUAACAGUAGCAAGCAUGUCUUGUCCCCUUAGCUAAGCAGGGUCCAGGCAGGAAACUUGUGUGAUUUCCACAACCUGCUGGCCAGCUCUUGCAUUUCAUGAAUAACCAACCCCUUUCCAUUAGUAUUUUCUGGCAGAUGGUGAAAAGGAUGGGUUAUUCACAUAAAGCAAGAGCUGGCCAGCAGGUGGCGCUGUAGAAAACAUGAGAGGUCCCUGCUGGCCAUUUAUGAGAAAGAAGACACAAGCCUGUGAGACCUUACUUCCACAAACUGGAAGCAAGACCUUAGUCUUCACACACUUAGUGAAGACUAAGGUAUUGCUUCCAGUUUGUGCACAAACUUUUCAUGUUGCACAUUCUUUGCCAUAUGGAAGGAACUUGAGAGGAACCCUGUACUCCUUAAAGGGGAGCAGCCUGGAAACUGUGUACUGCCCUGCGCUCCUUAGAUGGGGGCAGGGAAUUUUAAAAACCCCAUAAAUAAAAUAAGCUAGAAGACAGUUUGCUGUCCUACAUGACUUAUGGCAGUUCCUCCUGUAACCUUAAGGCAGAAGUGGCUUGCCCUGACGAGUUGGGGUGUGUGUAUUCCAAAGGAGACACAGCUGCAGGCUGACCAUUCAUCCAGUAGAGCCAUGCAAGCUGGUUAAUCAUUGACCAAACAGAGCUCCAAGAACAAGAGGCAGCUGUGCUCCCUUUGGUGAUCCCCCAGCUCAUUCAGAUGAGCUGCUCCUGCCUUAAGCACCCCUCCUCACAUUUCUGGCUAUGAGGCUGGCAUGCACAGUCCUGGUCUGAGCUGAUGUUUUUGUGUUGAACUAUGCUGCAGUUGGAAAUGGAGUAAUCUGAAGCAACACUGGGAUUUCUUUGGCUGGAAGGGUGGGUCAGGUGUUAACAAGGUCAGCAUGUUUCUCUAGAGCAACUGAGCUGACUCUUUCACACCACGGAAAGACCCACCUUGACAUAAAGAAGCAUGGACGUCCACCUCUGAAGCCAUUGGCAUCAAAUAACCUGUGUACUGUCACCUGGAACGUGCUAGCCGCAGGGUUUUCACAAGCCCACAAAACACACGAAUGAACAAGAGAGUCUUCCAGCACUAGAGUCCUGAUUAGGGGAGUCAGAAAAAGAGCCGCUUGUUGGCAGCACUAGCCUGGCACUUGGAGGAUGCUGACGUCCACUAAGCUGUGGUCUGUUUCCAGCAGGCUCCUUUGUAGGCCUGCAGGAGUUCAGCACAGGUUAAAAGCCUGUGUGGUUUUGGCAAGAAGCUUAUUUCUAAACCAGCCUCUAAUGCUAAAACAACAUGCUUCGAAAUAGACGAUUGGCCUUUUGAUGUUGCAUUCAUCGAAAGAUGCUAAAUAAAUCUUCAAAGCCCACAACAUGUGUACAGUGGAUAUCUAUACACCCAUGGAAUCUGGGUGCUGCCAAAGUGCAUUUGAAAGUUGCUGCACAUGAAUUAAAACUCCAUGUGUGUUCGUGAAGAACAGGCAGGGUGUGGGUCCCACCUGAGGUGGCGGUGGGUGGGCAUCGCAUGCCACAUAUUCCUCUGCUGCCUUCCCCAAUGUGAGCAGCUGACUCCUUGACCUCUUUUGAUGGCCAGGGAAGAACCUUCAAGAUGCGACUGGCUCCUUAAGAACAACCAGAAUCUCUUUUACUGGUUGCUCUCUAUACUAAAAUUAAUAUUCUGUAACUAGGCAAUCUAUCUAGGAAGCCAGCAUGGUGUAGUGGUUAGAGUAGGAGGCUAUUCUCAUGGUCAUACAAAAUCGGGCUAAGGGAGCCAAGGCUGAUUUUGUAUGCCUGUGAGAACCAACGGGCUCGCAGCCGAGUUCAGUCUCACAAAAGCAGGUCGCCCGCUAAAACAACCCUCCCCUAAGCCCAGGUUAACGGAACGAGUGCUCUGCUAACCUGGGCUUUUCGAUUGUGAGUUUCUGCAGCACGGCUCCACACCGUGGCAACUCACGGGUAGACCCCAGAACAGAAGGCUGAAAAGCAGCCUCCCUGCUCAGGGGUCUCUCCAGCAUGCCCUGUGUGCUUGAGCAGGGCAUGCUGGAGCUUUCGGGGGCCACAUGGCCCCCAAUCCUCCCAGCUGGCGGCGGCUCCAUAAUGGAUCCAGCAGUCAUCAAAGCAGACUGACUGCCAUCCGCGGGGAGAGAGGGCUUAGCCCACUCUCCCCGGAAACCCCAUCCAGGCUCUUCUCACAGAUUGUGAGAAGAGCCUCUUGGACUGCUCUUUUGGGACUACAGCUCCCAGCAUCCCCAGCCACAGUGGACUAUAGUCAGGGACGAUAGGAGCUGUAGGCCAAUAUCUGCAGAAGGGCCAAAGUUGAGCCACCCUGAGUUAGAGUAUUGGACUAGGACGAGUGCAAGGAUAUCCAAGUUUGGAUCCCCAUUCAGCCAUGACACUCACUGGGUGACUUUAGGUCAGUCACAUCCCUCAGCCUAAUUGACCUCCCAGGGUUAUUGGGAAGUGUACAUACAUAACUAUGUACAUUGCUCUGGGGCCUUGGAGGAAGAGUGGGAUAUACAUUUUUCCAAUAACUAAAUAAAUCCUGCCUAAGAAAAGCUUAAUGAUGCAAAUUAGACACAUGUGCAUAAUUUCUCAUAGCCUGAAUAAUUUAUUCUGCACGUUUGAUAUUUUGCAUGACUUGUUCUGGCUUUGCUAGACUCAGAAACCCCACUCCAUUCCUGAAAAUAUUCAGUCUGGCAUCUGAGAUUUCCAGCGGGUGUUUCCUCCUACACUUUCAAACAUAUCUUCACAGCCAUAAGUGCCAGAAAGUUGCUUUUUCAAUAACAAUGUAAGCUGAGAUUCUCAGGAAGCUGCAGAAUUUUGUGCCUGCAUUGUGCACUUUUCCUGUGCUGUUACACUGCUGUGGCACACACAGAGACUCAGCUCUAACUCUGCAUGAAGAGGUGAAAGUUGGUCUUGGUGAACUCCUGAUGGAUGGUGUCAAGUAAUGUAUCAGAAUCCUGUGUCAGUUCUGGCAAGAUGGGUUGCCCAGUGAGGAAAUUCUGCUCUGGUGUGUAUGUGAAGCUGAAAGUGCUGGAAUAAAUGAGACCAUCAUUUCUUAGCAGCAAGAGAGGGACAGUGAUAGGGUAUCUCAGCCACCUCCAGUCAUGGCUAAAUGCAGAGACAUCAGGAACGACACACACAAGGGACUUGGAACUCCUAGGGGGGAAAGAUUGUCUCUCUGCUUUACCUGUACAUAGUUUCAGCUUCUACGUCGCCAAACCAAACCUUCAGGUUUGCAUGAAAGUACUCGCCCUGCACUUCUAGCAUUGCCACGUCUCCACCACCCGUCAGCUGUGAGAAGCAGACCCAAUCACAUGGGAGAGGAAGGAUUACACAUAUUACACCAUGAAGAGGCCCUCUUUCAUGUUCCCACUCUAUCUGAGGUGUGGCAGGUAUCCAUACGGAACAGGGCCUUCUUGGCAGUGGCACCCAAAUUAUGGAACUGUCUCCCUAAUGAGGUACUACCAAGGCUCUAUUAUGUAGGCAAGCUUUUCUAGACCUUUUAAGUGGCCUCAUGCGAAUGUAUUUUGUUUUGUUUAUGUGUGUAAUAUACUGCCAAUUUAUAUUUGUGUGUGUAUGUGUAUGUAUUUCUGUUUUGUUAAGCAACACUAAAUUUAUACUAUUAUUUCUGUUAUUUGUGAUUAACAGCAUCAUCCCGGGAUCCAGAUAACAUUUGUAUGGAGUUUUGUAGGCAGCUUUAAAAAUUAGCGGUCUCUA
Long non-coding RNA from Hemicordylus capensis (graceful crag lizard), 4256 nucleotides. RefSeq lists it as uncharacterized. The transcript has 4 exons. The record is from RefSeq and is a predicted model, not a curated record. Lineage: Eukaryota; Metazoa; Chordata; Lepidosauria; Squamata; Cordylidae.